This 430-nucleotide ribosomal RNA is filed under the name Fusobacteriota bacterium. RNAcentral describes it as "Fusobacteria bacterium partial 16S ribosomal RNA". It matches the Rfam family "Bacterial small subunit ribosomal RNA", at positions 355 to 776 of the family's 1533-position model. Lineage: Bacteria; Fusobacteriati; Fusobacteriota. The record is from RNAcentral.
UAGGGAAUCUUCGGCAAUGGACGAAAGUCUGACCGAGCAACGCCGCGUGAGUGAAGAAGGUUUUCGCAUCGUAAAACUCUGUUGUUAGAGAAGAACAAGGAUGAGAGUAGAAUGUUCAUCCCUUGACGGUAUCUAACCAGAAAGCCACGGCUAACUACGUGCCAGCAGCCGCGGUAAUACGUAGGUGGCAAGCGUUGUCCGGAUUUAUUGGGCGAAAAGCGAGCGCAGGCGGUUUCUUAAGUCUGAUGUGAAAGCCGCCGGCCCAACCGGGAAGGGUCAAUGGAAACUGGGAAACUUGAGUGCAGAAGAGGAGGGUGGAAUUCCAUGUGUAGCGGUGAAAUGCGUAGAUAUAUGGGGGGACACCAGUGGAAAAGGCGGCUCUCUGGUCUGAACCUGACGAGGAGGCUCGAAAGCGUGGGGAGCAAACAGG